This 440-nucleotide ribosomal RNA is filed under the name uncultured bacterium. RNAcentral's name for it is "partial 16S ribosomal RNA". It matches the Rfam family "Bacterial small subunit ribosomal RNA", at positions 338 to 795 of the family's 1533-position model. The record is from RNAcentral.
CCUACGGGGUGCAGCAGUGGGGGAUAUUGCACAAUGGGGGAAACCCUGAUGCAGCGACGCCGCGUGUGGGAAGACGGUCCUCUGGAUUGUAAACCACUGUCCCCAGGGACGAAGCUGACGGUACCUUGGGCGGAAGCGUCGGCUAACUACGUGCCAGCAGCCGCGGUAAUACGUAGGGAGCGAGCGUUGUCCGGAAUUACUGGGUGUAACGGGAGCGUAGGCGGGGAUGCAAGUUGGGUGUCAAAACUAGCGGCUCAACUGGUAGUCGCACUCAAAACUGCAGCUCUUGAGUGAAGUAGAGGCAGGCGGAAUUCCUAGUGUAGCGGUGAAAUGCGUAGAUAUUAGGAGGAACACCAGUGGCGAAGGCGGCCUGCUGGGCUUUUACUGACGCUGAGGCUCGAAAGUGUGGGGAGCAAACAGGAUUAGAUACCCCGGUAGUC